This 383-nucleotide long non-coding RNA is filed under the name Salmo salar (Atlantic salmon). RNAcentral describes it as "lncRNA (ENSSSAG00000103478.1)". Lineage: Eukaryota; Metazoa; Chordata; Actinopteri; Salmoniformes; Salmonidae. The record is from RNAcentral.
AGAGAGAGUGAGAGAGGUUAGGAGGAGAGAGAGAGAGGUUAGGAGGAGAAAGAGAGAGAGAUUAGGAGGAGAGAGAGAGAGGUUAGGAGGAGAGAGAGAGAGGUUAGGAGGACAGAGAGAGAGAGGUUAGAAGGAGAGAGAGAGAGGUUAGGAGAGAGAGAGAGGUUAGGAGAGAGAGAGAGGUUAGGAGGAGAGAGAGGUUAGGAGAGAGAGAGAUUAGAAGGAGAGAAAGCGAGAGCUUAGGAGGAGAGAGAGAGAGGUUAGAAGGAUAGCUAAACAGACUGACAUAUAUUUCUAGAUUAUUCUUUCCUUCAUAUCCUCCAGGAAAACACAGACAGGAGAACACUAAAUCUUAAUUGCAUCGUUCCAAUAGUGGCAGCUGA